UAUUGCACAAUGGGCGCAAGCCUGAUGCAGCCAUGCCGCGUGUGUGAAGAAGGCCUUCGGGUUGUAAAGCACUUUCAGUCAGCAGGAAAGGUUAGUAGUUAAUACCUGCUAGCUGUGACGUUACUGACAGAAGAAGCACCGGCUAACUCCGUGCCAGCAGCCGCGGUAAUACGGAGGGUGCGAGCGUUAAUCGGAAUUACUGGGCGUAAAGCGUACGCAGGCGGUUUGUUAAGCGAGAUGUGAAAGCCCCGGGCUCCACCUGGGAACCGCAUUUCGAACUGGCAAACUAGAGUGUGAUAGAGGGUGGUAGAAUUUCAGGUGUAGCGGUGAAAUGCGUAGAGAUUUGAAGGAAUACCGAUGGCGAAGGCAGCCACCUGGGUCAACACUGACGCUCAUUACGAGG
Molecule: ribosomal RNA, 403 nt
Filed under: uncultured bacterium
Lineage: Bacteria
Description: bacterial SSU rRNA
Rfam family: Bacterial small subunit ribosomal RNA
Source: RNAcentral